CCUACGGGAGGCAGCAGUGAGGAAUAUUGGUCAAUGGACGAGAGUCUGAACCAGCCAAGUAGCGUGAAGGAUGACUGCCCUAUGGGUUGUAAACUUCUUUUAUAUGGGAAUAAAAUGUUCCACGUGUGGGAUUUUGUAUGUACCAUAUGAAUAAGGAUCGGCUAACUCCGUGCCAGCAGCCGCGGUAAUACGGAGGAUCCGAGCGUUAUCCGGAUUUAUUGGGUUUAAAGGGAGCGUAGGUGGAUUGUUAAGUCAGUUGUGAAAGUUUGCGGCUCAACCGUAAAAUUGCAGUUGAAACUGGCAGUCUUGAGUACAGUAGAGGUGGGCGGAAUGCGUGGUGUAGCGGUGAAAUGCUUAGAGAUCACGAAGAACUCCGAUUGCGAAGGCAGUUCACUGAACUGCAACUGACACUGAGGCUCGAAAGUGUGGGUAUCAAACAGGAUUAGAUACCCCGGUAGUC
RNAcentral lists this ribosomal RNA (460 nucleotides) under uncultured bacterium. Its description in RNAcentral is "partial 16S ribosomal RNA". It matches the Rfam family "Bacterial small subunit ribosomal RNA", at positions 338 to 795 of the family's 1533-position model. The record is from RNAcentral.